RNAcentral lists this unclassified non-coding RNA (326 nucleotides) under soil metagenome. Its description in RNAcentral is "partial contains 5.8S ribosomal RNA, internal transcribed spacer 2, and large subunit ribosomal RNA". The stretch from base 1 to 120 matches the Rfam family "5.8S ribosomal RNA", at positions 35 to 154 of the family's 154-position model. The record is from RNAcentral.
GAUGAAGAACGUAGCGAAAUGCGAUAAGUAAUGUGAAUUGCAGAAUUCAGUGAAUCAUCGAAUCUUUGACCGCACAUUGCGCCCCUUGGUAUUCCGGGGGGCAUGCCUGUUCGAGCGUCAUUAUCACCCCUCAAGCUCAGCUUGGUGUUGGGGCCUGCCGUCAAGGCAGCCCUUAAAAUCAGUGGCGGCGCCAUCUGGCUCUAAGCGUAGUAAUACUUCUCGCUACAGGGUCCCGGUGUGUCUUGCCAGAACCCCUCAUUUUUUAUGAUUGACCUCGGAUCAGGUAGGGAUACCCGCUGAACUUAAGCAUAUCAAUAAGCGGAGGA